Molecule: ribosomal RNA, 274 nt
Filed under: uncultured bacterium
Lineage: Bacteria
Description: partial 16S ribosomal RNA
Rfam family: Bacterial small subunit ribosomal RNA
Source: RNAcentral
UACAGAGGGUGCGAGCGUUGUCCGGAAUCACUGGGCGUAAAGGGCGCGUAGGUGGCGUCGCAAGUCGAUGGUGAAAGCUCGUCGCUCAACGACGAGUCGGCCAUUGAUACUGCGAGGCUGGAGCACUGUAGAGGCAGAUGGAAUUCCGGGUGUAGCGGUGGAAUGCGUAGAGAUCCGGAAGAACACCGGUGGCGAAGGCGGUCUGCUGGGCAGUUGCUGACACUGGAGGCGCGACGAGCGUGGGGAGCGAACAGGAUUGAGAUACCCCGGUAGC